This 425-nucleotide ribosomal RNA is filed under the name uncultured bacterium. RNAcentral's name for it is "partial 16S ribosomal RNA". It matches the Rfam family "Bacterial small subunit ribosomal RNA", at positions 354 to 796 of the family's 1533-position model. The record is from RNAcentral.
GUUAGGAAUAUUGGACAAUGGGCGCAAGCCUGAUCCAGCCAUGCCGCGUGAGUGAUGAAGGCCUUCGGGUUGUAAAGCUCUUUAGUCCACGAAUAUAAUGACUGUAGUGGAAGAAUAAGCCCCGGCUAACUUCGUGCCAGCAGCCGCGGUAAUACGAAGGGGGCGAGCGUUAUUCGGAAUCACUGGGCGUAAAGCGUGCGUAGGCUGUUCUGUAAGUCAGAAGUGAAAGCCCAGGGCUUAACCCUGGAAUUGCUUUUGAAACUACAAGACUCGGAGUCGGGAGAGGAUAGCGGAAUUGUCAGUGUAGCAGUGAAAUGCGUAGAUAUUGACAGGAACACCAGUGGCGCAAGCGGCUAUCUGGACCGAUAUUGACGCUGAGGCACGAAAGCGUGGGGAGCAAACAGGAUUAGAUACCCUAGUAGUCC